This 358-nucleotide ribosomal RNA is filed under the name Lenitovena trigona. RNAcentral's name for it is "partial 28S ribosomal RNA". Lineage: Eukaryota; Metazoa; Arthropoda; Insecta; Diptera; Tephritidae. The record is from RNAcentral.
AGCCCGAUGAACCUGAAUAUCCAUUAUGAAAAAUUCAUCAUUAUGCCUGCGAUAUUAUUUAUAAUAUUGUAGUAAUAGUGUGCAUUUUUUUCAUAUAAGGACAUUGUAAUCUAUUAACAUUUAAAUAUAUUUAUCAAAAGAUCAUUGGCUUAAGUUUAUUCAAAUUAAUUUGCUUCUGCUUAUUAACAUAGAAUAAAUGCUUAUGAUUUGAUAAAGUGUUGAUAGAUUUAUUAUAUAUAAUGCUCAAAUUUUUUAAAUUUUACAAUAACAUUAGAAUCUAUGAUUUUAGCGUUUAUUGUAUGCAUUUAUAUGAUUAACAAUGCGAAAGAUUCAGGAUACCUUCGGGACCCGUCUUGAA